Schistocerca nitens (vagrant locust) is the source of this 486-nucleotide long non-coding RNA. RefSeq lists it as uncharacterized. The record is from RefSeq and is a predicted model, not a curated record. The transcript has 4 exons. NCBI's taxonomy places the organism in Eukaryota, Metazoa, Arthropoda, Insecta, Orthoptera, Acrididae.
GUGCAGACGCUCACUUUGUGAGGAGGCAAGCACUCGUCUCACAGGUUCCGCAGUUACAGCUUAUUUCAAACAGCAGCUAUACUAGAAGUCAUGACGCAAUGAGUCGUCAUUGAAAGUUGAGGAUGAAGAAUGGGGAGAAAUUUCAGAGAAAAGUCGCUCGAAUCGUCGCAGUGCACUAACAACUUCCCCAGUGUUUAUAUCUUCUUUAGACUUUUAAAAAAGCAGAAGCAGAUUUAGAUAAUAAGGAAAGAGUUUGAGAUAGCGAGUGUAAACUGGAAUGUGUCAAUGAAAUCGUCAUAGGAAUGUCAGACUGAACUACGAAGGCAAGAUCUGUAUAUACGAGGACUUGCUGAAAGCUACAGCAUUUGCCGGAAGUGGCCACAAGGGACCUCUUUCUAUUCCCGAUGCUGAAGAGAACCAUGAAAGGACAUUGUUUUGCCACCACUGAUGAGAUAAAAGGUGAAUCGCUGAAGAAUUACUUUGAAG